AACGAACGCUGGCGGCAGGCUUAACACAUGCAAGUCGAACGCCCCGCAAGGGGAGUGGCAGACGGGUGAGUAACGCGUGGGAACCUACCUUUCGGUACGGAAUAACUCGGGGAAACUCGUGCUAAUACCGUAUAUUCCGGUAACGGGAAAGAUUUAUCGCCGAAAGACGGGCCCGCGUUGGAGUAGCUAGUUGGUGGGGUAAUGGCCUACCAAGGCGACGAUCUAUAGCUGGUCUGAGAGGAUGAUCAGCCACACUGGGACUGAGACACGGCCCAGACUCCUACGGGAGGCAGCAGUGGGGAAUCUUGGACAAUGGGGGAAACCCUGAUCCAGCCAUGCCGCGUGAGUGAUGACGGCCUUAGGGUUGUAAAGCUCUUUUGCUAGGGAACAAUAUUUUGAGCGUACCUAGAGAAUAAGAGGUUGCUAACUCUGUGCCAGCAGCCGCCGUAA
This 450-nucleotide ribosomal RNA is filed under the name uncultured bacterium. RNAcentral describes it as "partial 16S ribosomal RNA". It matches the Rfam family "Bacterial small subunit ribosomal RNA", at positions 29 to 523 of the family's 1533-position model. The record is from RNAcentral.